Molecule: ribosomal RNA, 254 nt
Filed under: uncultured bacterium
Lineage: Bacteria
Description: partial 16S ribosomal RNA
Rfam family: Bacterial small subunit ribosomal RNA
Source: RNAcentral
UACGUAGGGGGCAAGCGUUGUCCGGAUUUAUUGGGCGUAAAGAGCUCGUAGGCGGUUCGGCAAGUCAGAUGUAAAAACUCCAGGCUCAACUUGGAGAGGCCAUCUGAUACUGCCGUGACUAGAGUCCGGUAGAGGAGCACGGAAUUCCUGGUGUAGCGGUGAAAUGCGCAGAUAUCAGGAGGAACACCAGCGGCGAAGGCGGUGCUCUGGGCCGGAACUGACGCUGAGGAGCGGAAGCGUGGGGAGCGAACAGG